Molecule: long non-coding RNA, 273 nt
Filed under: Elaeis guineensis (African oil palm)
Lineage: Eukaryota; Viridiplantae; Streptophyta; Magnoliopsida; Arecales; Arecaceae
Description: long non-coding RNA (EGUI_LNC013454)
Source: RNAcentral
CCGACUCUUCUCUGAAAGUUGCCUCCUAGUUCUUCGAUCAUCCGGAGAUCAUGUUGAUUACUUCCGCCAUUGGUUGGUUGUUGAAUGUUUCCACAGUUUGUGGCUGAGGUUGUUGGUUGGUGAGAGGUUGAGUCGGACAAUCUCGUCAAAAUUUUUUGAGAUAACCUCGUUGAAUCGGGACUUCUAUCUCAUCCCUGAGCUGAAUGCACUGUUCGAUGUCGUGACCAUGAUCAAGAUAGAACCGACAGUAUUUCUUCCUGUCACAGCUCCUCG